GAUAAAAAAAAAAUUUGUGAUAUUGUAAUUUAUUUAAAUUGGGUACUCUACUUUUGGUUUACUCUGCCAGCCACUGAUACAGUAAAAUGGGCUAAAGCCUAAAUGCCAUCUGAAAGAGAUAUUCAACAAGAAGCAAAACCUUAUCCUAUCAGCCACCACACAAUCGCUUCAAUACUAACAGAAGCUUCCCUUAUUUCCCACCUCACAAAAGCCAUGGCAACCCUUUGUUUCACUUCAUCUCCGUCCUUUACUCUCGCCAAACAACUGUUACCCACCAAACUUCCUUCCCUUAAACUCAACUACGGAACAGGCAGAUCCCUGAAGACUAUAGUUAGGUCUUACAAAGUGGUGAUUGAACAUGAGGGUCAAUCCACAGAGCUGGAGGUUGAACCUGAUGAGACCAUACUAUCCAAGGCACUGGACUCUGGACUGUCGGUGCCUUAUGACUGCAUGCUUGGGGUAUGCAUGACUUGCCCAGCUAAGCUAAUAAGCGGCACAGUUGACCAGAGUGAAGGUAUGCUUAGUGAUGAUGUGGUGGAGCGUGGGUAUACACUGUUGUGUGCAUCGUAUCCAACGUCAGAUUGUCGGAUUAGGACCAUUCCUGAAGAUGAGCUGCUGUCCUUGCAACUAGCAACAGCUAAUGACUGAAAUCUGUGCGCUUGAUUGAUAUUUCAGUUAAAAGUUUUGAUAUUGAACACUAAAUUCGAGCACAGUAUUUCUCAUGGGUAUGUUAUGGUGGAAAUGUUGAAUAGAUUUGUUUCUUAUCCAUUGUGUGUGCUAUCUGUUGGGGGUAUAAAGAAAGAUGAAAAUAAAAGCACUUUCUGUCAUCUGAUUGAAUGCGAAUAUGGCUUAAUCCGGUUAAGUCAGCCUAAUACAUGGCAGAUAAUGGGCAUGAUUCAUAAAUAUAUUUUAUAUUAGAUGAAAUUAAA
RNAcentral lists this unclassified non-coding RNA (929 nucleotides) under Hevea brasiliensis (rubber tree). The record is from RNAcentral. Lineage: Eukaryota; Viridiplantae; Streptophyta; Magnoliopsida; Malpighiales; Euphorbiaceae.